Ixodes scapularis (black-legged tick) is the source of this 310-nucleotide long non-coding RNA. RefSeq lists it as uncharacterized. The record is from RefSeq and is a predicted model, not a curated record. NCBI's taxonomy places the organism in Eukaryota, Metazoa, Arthropoda, Arachnida, Ixodida, Ixodidae. The transcript is spliced from 3 exons.
CAACUUGUAGCUGGGAGCUCGAGCGGUCCGCUGGGGACUACUCCAAGCACCCAGAGCAAACCCCUCUCUGGAGCAGUCCCGAAAAGGACUUUGAGGGCACCAACCCCCACCAAUCGUCUGGGCAAUCCUAUCCUGAAGCGUUCGGAAAGCCUCAAGGAGAACCUGGACCACCACCCAAAACGACAGAGGGCUGCUGCUCCCACCUCAGCCGCCACUGCGGCAAAACAAAUCGUGGAUCUCAAGAAGCGCCUCCGGCGAUCGAGGUCAACCUGCGACGUCGGCACAGCACCAUUGACAUUGGCAGCAUCCA